This is a long non-coding RNA of Hibiscus syriacus, 178 nucleotides long. RefSeq lists it as uncharacterized. Lineage: Eukaryota; Viridiplantae; Streptophyta; Magnoliopsida; Malvales; Malvaceae. The transcript has 2 exons. The record is from RefSeq and is a predicted model, not a curated record.
UUGUUGCAUCUUUCUGUUGCAGUUUCUUAGAAUAUAUUGUUGCUGCAGGAUUGGUUCUGAAAUAGAUGGUCGGAAAGCGUGCAACAUUCUUCAUGCUGCUGGGCCUUCGAAGGUUGUGAUUACUAGCAUCAAUAUAGAAGGCAAUCUUCUUCUCAUUGGCAGUCAUCUGAAAGAUAAG